UACGGGGGGGGCAAGCGCUGUUCGGAAUUACUGGGCGUAAAGGGCUCGUAGGCGGCCAACUAAGUCAGACGUGAAAUCCCUCGGCUUAACCGGGGAACUGCGUCUGAUACUGGAUGGCUUGAAUCCGGGAGAGGGAUGCGGAAUUCCAGGUGUAGCGGUGAAAUGCGUAGAUAUCUGGAGGAACACCGGUGGCGAAGGCGGCAUCCUGGACCGGCAUUGACGCUGAGACGCGAAAGCGUGGGGAGCAAACAGG
Molecule: ribosomal RNA, 253 nt
Filed under: uncultured bacterium
Lineage: Bacteria
Description: partial 16S ribosomal RNA
Rfam family: Bacterial small subunit ribosomal RNA
Source: RNAcentral